Non-coding RNA from Oryza glaberrima (African rice), 203 nucleotides. The record is from Rfam. NCBI's taxonomy places the organism in Eukaryota, Viridiplantae, Streptophyta, Magnoliopsida, Poales, Poaceae.
UUUAAGUGCAACCAUGUGUUUAUGUGUCUAACUUUGAUCGUCCGUCUUAUUUAUAGUUUUUUAUGAUUAAUAUUUUUAUUGUUAUUAGAUGAUAAAACAUGAAUAGUACUUUAUGUGUGACUUAUGUUUUUAAUUUUUUUCAAAAAAUUUCAAAUAAGACGGAUGAUCAAAGUUGGGCACGGCAAAUCAUGGCUGCACUCAAA